UGCGUAGGCGGUCUUCUAAGUUUGAUGUGAAAUCCCGGGGCUCAACCCUGGAAUUGCAUUGAAUACUGGAGGACUAGAGUACUGGAGAGGAAACCGGAAUUUACGGUGUAGCAGUGAAAUGCGUAGAGAUCGUAAGGAAGACCAGUGGCGAAGGCGAGUUUCUGGACAGUAACUGACGCUGAGGCACGAAGGCCAGGGGAGCAAACGG
This 208-nucleotide ribosomal RNA is filed under the name uncultured bacterium. RNAcentral's name for it is "partial 16S ribosomal RNA". It matches the Rfam family "Bacterial small subunit ribosomal RNA", at positions 568 to 775 of the family's 1533-position model. The record is from RNAcentral.